Molecule: ribosomal RNA, 262 nt
Filed under: Thalassiosira rotula
Lineage: Eukaryota; Bacillariophyta; Thalassiosirophyceae; Thalassiosirales; Thalassiosiraceae
Description: partial Bacterial small subunit ribosomal RNA
Rfam family: Bacterial small subunit ribosomal RNA
Source: RNAcentral
UGCGAGCGUUAAUCGGAAUUACUGGGCGUAAAGCGUGCGCAGGCGGUUAUAUAAGACAGAUGUGAAAUCCCCGGGCUCAACCUGGGAACUGCAUUUGUGACUGUAUAGCUAGAGUACGGCAGAGGGGGAUGGAAUUCCGCGUGUAGCAGUGAAAUGCGUAGAUAUGCGGAGGAACACCGAUGGCGAAGGCAAUCCCCUGGGCCUGUACUGACGCUCAUGCACGAAAGCGUGGGGAGCAAACAGGAUUAGAUACCCUGGUAGU